UCGAGCGGCAGCGCGGGGGCAACCCUGGCGGCGAGCGGCGGACGGGUGAGGAAUGCGUCGGAAUCUGCCUUUUUGUGGGGGAUAACGUAGGGAAACUUACGCUAAUACCGCAUACGACCUACGGGUGAAAGUGGGGGACCGCAAGGCCUCACGCAGAAAGAUGAGCCGACGCCGGAUUAGCUAGUUGGCGGGGUAAAGGCCCACCAAGGCGACGAUCCGUAGCUGGUCUGAGAGGAUGAUCAGCCACACUGGAACUGAGACACGGUCCAGACUCCUACGGGAGGCAGCAGUGGGGAAUAUUGGACAAUGGGCGCAAGCCUGAUCCAGCCAUGCCGCGUGUGUGAAGAAGGCCUUCGGGUUGUAAAGCACUUUUGUCCGGAAAGAAAAGCAUUCGGUUAAUAACCGAGUGUCAUGACGGUACCGGAAGAAUAAGCACCGGCUAACUUCGUGCCAGCAGCCGCGGUAAUACGAAGGGUGCAAGCGUUA
Molecule: ribosomal RNA, 486 nt
Filed under: uncultured bacterium
Lineage: Bacteria
Description: bacterial SSU rRNA
Rfam family: Bacterial small subunit ribosomal RNA
Source: RNAcentral